GCUAGGUGAUGACUCAAUUUUGCCACCACUAUUCCCUAUUCAAACUACUGUUCUGCAAAAUAAUUAUUUCUGUAUUGCACAAAUGAUGCUGCCUGGCCUUCACUUGAUAAGAAUGCUUCAUUUACAUAUUAAGUCUACUUCUGGUUUUUCUCAGCCUAUGGUGAGUAAAGUGGUACUAUUGGGGGGGUCAACACAAUUAUGAAAAGGAAAUAAAUUGAGAGGUUGUCCUCAGUUAGAAGGUGAUUAAGGGGAUCCCAACUAUGCAAAUACUAAUUUUUUAGAUUAGCAUCAAAAUGAAAACAUAAUAUUUUUCCAUUUCUUAUAGAUUCUUAUGAUUCCUCAGAGGUCUUGACACUCCACUGGAAAAACAUAGCUCCAAGAAAGGAAAGCAAGAAGAUCUUUGGAGUCAGGGAAAUCCUGAUAUUUCACACUUUGGUUUUGCAUGAAGAGUUUGGCUUCAAUCGGCUCAGUGGACUGGCAGGUCAUGCCCUAUUUAACACUCAAGUGGUAAGAAAGUCAAAAUUGAAGGGGUUUUAUAGUGAGUCCCAAAUGGCCUUUCUAAUUGCAGUUAUGUUUUUCAAUAACUUGAAUUACUCUACCACUUUAUUUCAGCAAUGAAGAGCUGUUAGAAGACAUAUUAACACCCUCAAAUACCUAAAAUCAAUGUUAGUUGGAGAUAUUCAUAGACAUCAACUAAAGGAAUUUUUAAAAAAAAAGACAUUGAACACCAGGUAGUGGUUAUUUCUAUGGUAGCAGCAUAAUGGCAGGCUUUGGUUGUCACUAUAAACAAGUCUUUGAUAUACUGCUUUAGAAUGCAAUGCAGUAAAGUGGUAUCAUUGUGAAAGUCUAAAAAAAAAUUCAUUUACAUGAUGCCAGAAAGUUUUGCCCUAGUAUUAUGCAAAUGAAUACUCAUGGCUCAGGAUAAAAUUUCCAGAGCUUUAUCUCAAACAAUAUAGAUUGAAAUGAAGACUGUGUCCUCUGGGAAAAUGUUAAGUUCUUAAAAGUGGAACUGUUAUCAACAGUUCAAGUGAAGAAUUUAGUUUAUGUAUUUUGGAUUUUCUAUACU
RNAcentral lists this long non-coding RNA (1066 nucleotides) under Canis lupus familiaris (dog). RNAcentral describes it as "lncRNA (ENSCAFG00030021857.1)". Lineage: Eukaryota; Metazoa; Chordata; Mammalia; Carnivora; Canidae. The record is from RNAcentral.